GUCUAUGCACACUGACAAGUAGCCUGAGGGCUUGCUGUUGGGUGGGGCUGGUGCCUAGGGCAGGCUGCCUGCCCCAGUUGAACUGGAUUAAAUCUGUGCUCUAGUGGGUGUGGCCAACCCCCCUGGUUUUAAGGCUAGGGCAAGAACUUCACUGGCGUCUGCCAGCGUCUGUGUCAGCGUGCCUGUACUAGGUUACAACAAUAGCCCCCACCAAUGUCUCAGUCUCUGGUGAGGUCUCACCUCUCACCGAGAAGCACCCAGAGCCUACCAGCUUGGACUUGACAGAGCAGUGAUUUAUAACUCCUCCCUUGCUUCUUUCUCCAUGGUGUAAUUUCAGAAGUGAGAUGAUUGCUCCUUGCUGUUUGCUAUGCACUCUGUGGAUUCCACGCUGAGAUCACUACAGUUGGAGAAGGAUGGCCUCUAUCAAAGCAAGUCAGAGAAACUCCGAGGAGAGAAGCCAAGGUGUCAUUUCCUGGGACCAAAUGAGGUAUAAACUUAAAGAUGAGAGAGGCUAGCUCAACCCAGCCUGAUGUCAUGAGCAUAUGUAAUGUAAACCAGAGAGCUGUGGAAUCAGCCAUCUUCCACCACGUGCAUGGAGAAACAGCAAAUGGCAGUCUGUGGAGGGAGAAGAAUGGAGCGGACGUGCACAGAGAAACAGAGGUGAGGAACAUGCGUGUUCCACAGGUAGAGAGACCCAACGAGGGUCUUCUUUACGGAAACA
This 721-nucleotide long non-coding RNA is filed under the name Equus caballus (horse). RNAcentral's name for it is "lncRNA (ENSECAG00000057355.1)". Lineage: Eukaryota; Metazoa; Chordata; Mammalia; Perissodactyla; Equidae. The record is from RNAcentral.